GGCAGCUACACAUGCAGUCGAGCGGAACGAGUUAUCUGAACCUUCGGGGGACGAUAACGGCGUCGAGCGGCGGACGGGUGAGUAAUGCCUAGGAAAUUGCCCUGAUGUGGGGGAUAACCAUUGGAAACGAUGGCUAAUACCGCAUAAUGCCUACGGGCCAAAGAGGGGGACCUUCGGGCCUCUCGCGUCAGGAUAUGCCUAGGUGGGAUUAGCUAGUUGGUGAGGUAAGGGCUCACCAAGGUGACGAUCCCUAGCUGGUCUGAGAGGAUGAUCAGCCACACUGGAACUGAGACACGGUCCAGACUCCUACGGGAGGCAGCAGUGGGGAAUAUUGCACAAUGGGCGCAAGCCUGAUGCAGCCAUGCCGCGUGUGUGAAGAAGGCCUUCGGGUUGUAAAGCACUUUCAGUCGUGAGGAAGAUGGUAGUGUUAAUAGCACUAUCAUUUGACGUUAGCGACAGAAGAAGCACCGGCUAACUCCGUGCCAGCAGCCGCGGUAAUACGGAGGGUGCGAGCGUUAAUCGGAAUUACUGGGCGUAAAGCGCAUGCAGGUGGUUUGUUAAGUCAGAUGUGAAAGCCCGGGGCUCAACCUCGGAAUAGCAUUUGAAACUGGCAGACUAGAGUACUGUAGAGGGGGGUAGAAUUUCAGGUGUAGCGGUGAAAUGCGUAGAGAUCUGAAGGAAUACCGGUGGCGAAGGCGGCCCCCUGGACAGAUACUGACACUCAGAUGCGAAAGCGUGGGGAGCAAACAGGAUUAGA
This 757-nucleotide ribosomal RNA is filed under the name uncultured bacterium. Its description in RNAcentral is "bacterial SSU rRNA". It matches the Rfam family "Bacterial small subunit ribosomal RNA", at positions 45 to 782 of the family's 1533-position model. The record is from RNAcentral.